ACUGAAUGUGACCGACUCCAGAGCUAUUUCUGCUAUCAAGAUUUGCUCCGAUGGAAUAUGGGUAUAAAUAUCCCUCCGACCUGAGACCGUCAUGGUGACUUGCAAGCAACUCACUGCACUUAGGUACUGGACUACCUAAAUUUUUAAUUCAGUGAUGGAAGGCUGCUGGGUGUAGUCAAGUACUUGACUUGUCGGUGCGUGUGUCAAGAUGGGAUUGAUCACUCCCAUUUAGGAGCUGUGUACAGUCGUGUUUCAAUUUAGCAAAAUCUUGGCUAGGGUAGUCCUUGUGAGGAGUCACAAGACUGUUUGAUGUGAACAC
This 319-nucleotide long non-coding RNA is filed under the name Elaeis guineensis (African oil palm). Its description in RNAcentral is "long non-coding RNA (EGUI_LNC054375)". Lineage: Eukaryota; Viridiplantae; Streptophyta; Magnoliopsida; Arecales; Arecaceae. The record is from RNAcentral.